CCCCUAGAUGUUCUGGGCCGCACGCGCGCUACACUGAACAGUUCAACAAGUCUUAACCUUGGCCGAUAGGUCUGGGUAAUCUUUGAACGCUGUUCGUGAUUGGGAUAGACCUUUGCAAUUAUGGGUCUUCAACGAGGAAUUCCUAGUAAACGCAAGUCAUCAGCUUGCAUUGAUUACGUCCCUGCCCUUUGUACACACCGCCCGUCGCACCUACCGAUUGAAUGGUCCGGUGAAAUCUCGGGACGGCGGCUUGGUCGCUUGCGUCCGACUGCUGAAACUUGAUUAAACCAUAUCAUUUAGAGGAAGGUUAAGUCGUANCA
Molecule: ribosomal RNA, 320 nt
Filed under: uncultured eukaryote
Lineage: Eukaryota
Description: partial 18S ribosomal RNA
Rfam family: Eukaryotic small subunit ribosomal RNA
Source: RNAcentral